Molecule: unclassified non-coding RNA, 1787 nt
Filed under: uncultured fungus
Lineage: Eukaryota; Fungi
Description: sequence contains 18S rRNA gene, ITS1, 5.8S rRNA gene, ITS2, 28S rRNA gene
Rfam family: Eukaryotic large subunit ribosomal RNA (bases 464-1787)
Source: RNAcentral
GGAAGGAUCAUUACUGAGUAUCUUUGCCUUUAGGCAAACCUCUCUAUCCAUAAACUCUUUUUAUAAAGACAUGAUUUUAUUAUACUAGUCUGAAUGAUUUAUCAAGAAUCUUUUAAAACUUUCAACAACGGAUCUCUUGGUUCUCGCAUCGAUGAAGAACGCAGCAAAAUGCGAUAAGUAUUGUGAAUUGCAGAAUUUUGUGAAUCAUCGAAUUUUUGAACGCACAUUGCACCUUCUGGUAUUCCGGAGGGUAUACCUGUUUGAGCGUCAUUUAUAUACUCAAAACUUUAUUGUUUUUGGUUAUGGGCAUCUAUUCUUGAUUGAAUUUGCCUGAAAUACAACGGUAGAGUGGUCACUGGGAAGACAGGUUUAACCAAUGCUAUUAAAUUUAUCGUUGGGCAGGUUUGUUCUUUUAGGUGACUAUGCUUCCUUAACGUCCUUGCGGACAACAUUUCUUAAAUUUUGACCUCAAAUCAGGCAGGAGUACCCGCUGAACUUAAGCAUAUCAAUAAGCGGAGGAAAAGAAACCAACAGGGAUUGCCUUAGUAACUGCGAGUGAAGCGGCAAGAGCUCAAAUUUGAAAUCUGGCACCUUCGGUGUCCGAGUUGUAAUUUGUAGAAGCAUCUUUUGGGCUGGUCCUUGCACAUGUUCCUUGGAACAGGACAUCAUAGAGGGUGAGAAUCCCGUACAUGGUGGGGAGUCCAGUCCUUUGUAAAGUGCUUUCGAAGAGUCGAGUUGUUUGGGAAUGCAGCUCUAAGUGGGUGGUAAAUUCCAUCUAAAGCUAAAUAUUGGCGAGAGACCGAUAGCGAACAAGUACAGUGAUGGAAAGAUGAAAAGAACUCCGAAAGGAGAGUGAAAAAGGACGUGAAAUUGUUGAAAGGGAAGUGCUUGAGAUCAGUCUUAGGAUUCAGUGAUCAAUCUUCCUUUUGGUUGGUGCACUCACUGUUUUCUAGGCCAACAUCAGUUUUCGCGGCAGGAUAAUGUCCCAGGAAUGUGGCUCCCUCGGGAGUGUUAUAGCCUGGGUUGAUACUGCCAGCUUAGACUGAGGUCUGCGCUUUUUGCUAGGAUGUUGGCAUAAUGAUCUUAAUCAGCCCGUCUUGAAACACGGACCAAGGAGUCUAACAACUAUGCAAGUGUUUGGGUGUAAAACCCGUACGCGUAAUGAAAGUGAACGUAGAUGGGAACCUUUUGGUGCACCAUCGACCGAUCCUGAUGUCUUCGGAUGGAUUUGAGUAAGAGCAUAGCUGUUGGGACCCGAAAGAUGGUGAACUAUGCCUGAAUAGGGUGAAGCCAGAGGAAACUCUGGUGGAGGCUCGUAGCGAUUCUGACGUGCAAAUCGAUCGUCAAAUUUGGGUAUAGGGGCGAAAGACUAAUCGAACCAUCGGCGAAAAGCUACUAGGUGGUUAAGAGGAUCAUGAGUUGUGGUUCUAGUCCGAGGAAGUUGGGCAAGACUGUCAAAUUGCUGGAACACCCUAAAGACAAACGGUACUAAGCUGGACUGGAAACGGUUCGGUGGAGCAGGUAACUACUGCCGAGUGAAAAUCUGUUUGUAUGUAACAAUGGGCAAUCAGCAGCCAAGUCCUAAACCACGAAGUGGCAUGGAUGCAGUUCAGAGACUAAAUGGCAGCCGGUACCUAAAUUGGUGCUUAAGAUAUAGUCCAAUCCCAGCUGAAAAGGUGGUCUGCAGACAAAGCGCACGCUCUAACUUCCAUACUUGGACGUGUGCCCGAAUCUGCAGGACUUGUGCGACGCAGUGCAAGUGUAGAAUGCUAGUAGCUGGUUCCUGC